UACAGAGGUCUCAAGCGUUGUUCGGAAUUACUGGGCGUAAAGCGCGUGUAGGCGGCCCUGCAAGUCGGAUGUGAAAUCCCACGGCUCAACCGUGGAAGUGCAUUCGAAACUGCAGGGCUAGAGUCCUGGAGAGGAAGGUGGAAUGCUUGGUGUAGAGGUGAAAUUCGUAGAUAUCAAGCGGAACACCGGUGGCGAAGGCGGCCUUCUGGACAGUGACUGACGCUGAGACGCGAAAGCGUGGGGAGCAAACAGG
Molecule: ribosomal RNA, 253 nt
Filed under: uncultured bacterium
Lineage: Bacteria
Description: partial 16S ribosomal RNA
Rfam family: Bacterial small subunit ribosomal RNA
Source: RNAcentral